AAAUAGAGGGAUAGCUUCUCUUGAGAAGAAUCUUCCUUAUCAUUUCUAAGCUGGGAACCAUGGUAGAUAGGAUGGAGAACUUUAGAUCAGUGACUAGGAACUUUGAACCUGCACCCUGAUGAGAUCUGGAACAUCUGGGAAUACUGCUAAAGACAAUCACAGGUAUAAUGAAGACGCAAAUGGGAUCCCAGACUUUGAACUCAGUCAGACGCAGGUUCAGAUCCUGAUUUUGCUUCUAAUGUAAAAACCUGCAAAUUGUA
Erinaceus europaeus (western European hedgehog) is the source of this 260-nucleotide long non-coding RNA. RefSeq lists it as uncharacterized. The record is from RefSeq and is a predicted model, not a curated record. Lineage: Eukaryota; Metazoa; Chordata; Mammalia; Eulipotyphla; Erinaceidae. The transcript has 2 exons.